GGGAAUCGAACCCAGGCCCUCCUUGCUGUGAGGCGACAGCGCUACCUACCACACCACCGUGCCACUUCUGUCCAAUCGAUACUGGUAGGAACCUAUGCAUAAGGACAUGCAUACCUUUGUUGCAUCUUGCUCCAUGUGCUUACAGUGCAAAACCCCUAAGACGUUACCUGCAGGUAAACUAGUCCCAUUACUUGUCACUGAGAGACCUUGGUCACACAUAGCCGUUGAUUUUGUGACAGAUCUACCAGAGUCAGAGGGCUAUAUCACCAUUCUUACUAUAGUCGAUCAUUUCUCCUGGGGUGUUUGUUUUGUGCCUUUUAUCUCAAUUCCCAAUGCUUUUCAGACUGCAGAGGCUUUGUUUAUGCAUCUUUUCACCUUUUUGGCAUACCUCAGCACACUGUCUGACAGAGCACCCCAGUUCACCUCACAGGUUUGGAAGGCUAUCUUUGAACACAUUGGAGUUACCAUUAGUCUAACAUCAGGUUAUCACUCUCCAUCUACUGACCAAUGCGAAAGGACAUCAAGAAUUGGGUAAAUUUUUGAGACUGUUCUGUCAUCACAACCCUUCCAACUGAUCACGUUAUUUACCAUGGGCUGAGAGCACAGAACCAGUUCAGCUAUGGGUCUGACCCCCUUCCAGGAUACCAGCCACCAUUAGCACCUUGGACAGGUUCCUCCAAAGAUGUUCCCACAGUCGAUGCCUGCAAGCAAAGGAGUGAGAAGGUUUGCAAAGAGACCAACACAUUACAACAAUACAUCAGAGGAACAAGGAAAAAGCAGAUCAUCACAGAAGGCCAUUGGAUGAGGCUACACCAAAUGACACACCACCUCCCCCUGGAGGAGAUUGAUCGGGUGGUAGUUUAUGCAGGCUGCUGGACUGCCGGACAUGAGAAGGCAACCUACAGUACUUGGUAGACUGGGAGGGAUAUGGCCCAGGGGAGCAGUGUUGGGCACAAGACAUCCUGGACCCUGGCCUGAUCACAGACUUCCACAGUCAGCACCCUGGCAAACCUGCUCCUCGUCUUUGGUUGUCUCACAGUGUUCUAACCGUUUGGACUGUAUUCUGGAUAUUGUUCUUUUGCCUCGCCCUUUGGAUUGUUUGCAUAUGGUUGUGUUUAUUUUCUAGCUGAGUUUUUUGGUUUCAACCCAUGCCUGCGUUGUGACUAUGAGCUUGGAUUACAUCUCCAUCAGUAAAGCCUUUCUUGUUCAUUUUUA
This is a long non-coding RNA of Pygocentrus nattereri (red-bellied piranha), 1215 nucleotides long. RefSeq lists it as uncharacterized. NCBI's taxonomy places the organism in Eukaryota, Metazoa, Chordata, Actinopteri, Characiformes, Serrasalmidae. The transcript is spliced from 2 exons. The record is from RefSeq and is a predicted model, not a curated record.